Molecule: ribosomal RNA, 306 nt
Filed under: Triticum aestivum (bread wheat)
Lineage: Eukaryota; Viridiplantae; Streptophyta; Magnoliopsida; Poales; Poaceae
Description: partial small subunit ribosomal RNA
Source: RNAcentral
AUGCAUUGUUUUGCUUGUUUUGAUGAAACUAUCGAUUUGUAUCGGUGGUAUAAGCCAUGGAAAAGUUAUAUUACAGUAGCUACAAUGCAAAAACAAAAUAUGAAUUGGUUUGCAACAAUACUUAGAGUAGUGAUUUGCUUUAUUAUACUAACAGAUCUUACCGAGCUUUCUGUUGAGUUUUGUGUGGAUGAAGUGAUCAAAGAUCGAGGAGGUCUCAAUAUGAGGAGAAGGAGGAGAGGCAAGAGCUCAAGAUUGGGGAUGCCCAAGGCACCCCAAGUAAAUAUUCAAGGAGACUCAAGCGUCUAA